GGGGACAGUGACCAUUUUGUCUUGUGGAGACCAGUUUUACAGCUCCUGUCAGCUGGAGGCCAUAGGCUCCGCCAUCCCUCAGACCUCUGUACAUUCAGAGACUUUGCAUUCCCACUGCAUCCAUGUGGGUCAGGCUUGUAUGCACUAUUUUAGUGCAGGUUAUGUCUCUGUGGGCCUGGCUACCUUCAUGGACCUCAACACCUUGGGACAGAAGGUGUGGGCUGUUGAUCAGAACAUUGCAUACAGCAACCAAGUGGCCAUGACCCAGAUGCUUCUGCUGAUGAAGGAACGGUGGAUUGGCUGUUUAAUAUUAUCAGUGACGGCAAAAGAGAAAUGGUGUGGGAGAGAAACUGGAGGAAAAUUAUGACCGUUUACAUGUUUUCAAAAAAAAUCUGUCAAUAUUUAGAGGCCAUAUUCUUACACUUCGUUCGGCUCCAGUUUAAUUUUUAUAUAGAAAGAAAUAACUUCACAUGAUAGUUGCUUUACUUGUAACUUAAUACUGUAAUUAUGUGCUAAACUCAAUUGAUGCUUAGGUGUUGAAUUCAUUAUCAUUUUGAUAGAUGAGCCUAAAUAAUGAGCGCAUUAAUAAUUCAUACCAUUUUCAUUAUGCAUGUGUAUGCAUGCUUGAACACCUCAUCAACCUGGUGCCAGGCCUUAAACAAUAGGAUCCUUUUAUUAGCAGUAUGCCCAAGUUUACGCUUGUUAAUCUGCGACUUGUAUUAUUUUAUCAAACAUUCAUUUAGUUGGUGGCCUGGUGCUUCACUGCAGCACUUGAGUCUCUGCAGCUGUUAAUGGCUUCUGCAGUGGCCAUCAUUAGGGACCUGCAUAUUACAAACACAAUUAAAUCCCUGUUGGACACUUUUAUUGUUGUAUAAGAGCCCUGGCUUUGACAAGUGCAAGCACACAGCCUUCACAGCAAAUUAUGGGCUGUGUCCUGAGCUUACUGUGGCUUCCGCCUGCCCCCCCUUUUUUUUUUUAAUCUCCCGAAAGUGGCUAAGAACAACCGUAAUUCUUAUCUUCUUAAGCCCUGACAUGAUUUUACACUGUUUCUCUUGAUCAGAAUGUCUCUAUGACAGUAGAUGAAUGCAAACACUGCUUUCCGUGAAGGGCAGUUGCUUGGCAUGGUGACACACAGCAAGGCUCGUCGUGUGCUUGGCAUGUCUUCUCAGCAUUAAUUGUUUUUCCUUGCUGGUAAUUAAGAAAGGCCCAACACUUUGCCGAGUGUGCCUCUUUCUCAGUGUGUUUGCUAAACAGACGCGCAAACUGAUUAAUGUCCCUAAGAAAGUGUUUGGUGUCGCCACUUUUACUCUAAACAAACUUUUAGGCAAAAUUUUCAAUUUUAAACAAAAUAUUUGCUAUCUUACGUGAUGAAUUUUGACAGUCAGUGUUUGUUGUUUCUUUUUACAGCCUCAGAUGGAAAGUUUUCAUGCAGUUAUUGGAAGCCACUUGUUUCAUUCUAACCUUUCUGUGUUGUACUGCCACAUCCUCUCCAACAUGUGCAAGCUAUUGGAUUCAACAUGAAGGUUGGAAAUUCACCUAGGUAAGCGAUAUUGAAGC
Molecule: long non-coding RNA, 1557 nt
Organism: Oryzias sinensis (Chinese medaka)
Lineage: Eukaryota; Metazoa; Chordata; Actinopteri; Beloniformes; Adrianichthyidae
Source: Ensembl